UUGUCGUCUCUUUGUUAUUUUGGGAGAAAGAGCAACUCAAUGUAAAAAGAGUGUAGACACUCUUAUCCUGUUGUGAAGAUAGUCAUGUGUCCUAAUCCUAAUGUAAUAUAGAGCUUCAGUAACGGCCACACAUGGCCUCCAUCCCCUUCAAACCAACAACUCAGUUCCAACUCCAACUCUAUUCUUCAACGAUUUUACUAAACCCCUUCAAGUUUCAUACUAGUCUACCAAGAAUUUCAUCUUCCGUUCAUGUCACUCACGUGGAGACACAGACAACAGAGCAAGAAAUUUCACACACCAGAAGAGAUGGUAAAACUAAUAGUAACGAAAAUGGUUCUGGGUUUUCAUCCUUUACUCCCAAAUAUAAGAAAUCUUAUUCUGGUCAGGAAAAUGGUGCCAACAGAGUUGUUCUAAAAGAUAGAAAUGCAAAAUUGAAACCUAAAAGAAGGAGCUCUACUACUACUACUUCUAAUAAUAAGGCGGUGGAGUCAAAGAAGAGUAAAAUUGAUUCUACAUUGAGGAUUGGAUUAGAUAUGUGCUCAAAAAGAGGGGAUGUACUUAGUGCAAUUAAGCUAUAUGAUUUGGCACUGCUACAAGGAAUAGUAAUGGGACAGUAUCAUUAUGCUGUACUUCUCUAUCUUUGUGCUUCUGCAGCUACUGGUCUCAUUCACCCAGCAAAAAGUGGAAGUGUUAAUAGGACUUUGAAUGCUCCCAAUGAACAGGAGUUUAGCCUUAAUGACAAAGUAAUUGAGCAUGAUUCACAUUUGUUGAGCUCUUCCACUGUAGAUGAAUUUGUUCAAUUUAUGAAGAGCAGUGCAAAAAGUGUGAGACAUGAUGACAAUGGAAUUAAAGUGAGUGAAGAUGUAAGACAUUAUGCACUUACAAGGGGUUUUGAAAUAUAUGAGAAAAUGCUCUCAGACAAGGUACAAAUUAAUGAAGCAACCCUUACAUCUGUUGCAAGAAUGGCAAUGGCAUUAGGGAAUGGUGAUAUGGCAUUUGAUGUUGUAAAGAAAAUGAAAGAAGAUGGAAUAAACCCCAAACUACGAUCGUAUGCUCCUGCAUUAUCUGUUUUCUGCAAUAACGGGGAUGUCGACAAGGCAUUUAUAGUUGAACAACACAUGUUAGAGAAUGGUAUCUACCCGGAGGAACUUGAGCUGGAGGCACUUCUAAAAGUAAGUAUAGAAGCUGAAAGGAGUGAAAAAGUGUACUAUUUGUUACAUAAGCUUAGAGAAGGAGUUCGACAAGUCUCACCUUCUACUGCAGAUUUGAUUGACAAGUGGUUCAACAGCAAGGUAGCUUCAAGGGUGGGAAAAAGAAAAUGGGAUGUAAGAUCCAUACACAAAGCUAUUAAAAAUGGAGGUGGUGGCUGGCAUGGACAAGGCUGGUUGGGUAAUGGAAAGUGGACUGUAUCACAUGGAAUCGUUGGCUCUGAUGGCUGCUGCAAAUGCUGUGCCGAGAAGCUCGUGACCAUUGAUCUUGAUCCAGAAGAAACUGAAAAGUUUGCUAAGUCAGUUGCUUCUAUAGCUGCGCAGAGAGAGAGAAAUUCGAGCUUCCAGAAAUUUCAAAGAUGGCUUGAUUACUAUGGACCAUUUGAAGCUGUUAUUGAUGGUGCAAAUGUUGGUCUUUACAGCCAAAGAAAGUUUAGGCCAUCUAAGGUCAAUGCUGUCGUCAAUGGAAUUCGUCAGAUGCUUCCUUCAAAAAAGUGGCCGCUAAUAGUUCUGCACAAUAGACGUAUUACUGGAGAUAAGAUGGAUGAACCAUUCAAUCGAUCGUUAGUAGAGAAGUGGAAAAAUGCGGAUGCGAUCUAUGCAACACCUACUGGGUCAAAUGAUGAUUGGUACUGGUUGUAUGCAGCUAUAAAAUUUCGGUGCUUGCUUGUGACCAAUGAUGAGAUGAGGGACCAUUUAUUUCAACUUCUGGGAAAUGACUUUUUCCCAAAAUGGAAGGAAAGGCAUCAGGUGCGUUUCAGUUUCUCUGAAACAGGUCCAGUAUUUCACAUGCCGCCUCCAUGUUCUAUUGUAAUUCAGGAGUCGGAAGAAGGAAACUGGCAUGUACCAAUUGCCUCAGAACUUGAAUCAGAAGAGGAAAGGACGUGGCUGUGCAUUAGGCGUGCCAAUUCACCUAUGGCACAUCAAGAUUCUUCCAGAGUAAACAUAUCCAAAAAUGUUGGUGGUCCCACUCACAAAUGCCCUCCUACGUCAUCAGACUCUCCUCACAACAAGGGAGAUGCAAAGUCAAGCACAAGAAGGAAAAAUCAAGUUAAGGUGACAGGAAAAACGCGCGGCAGCCACUGUCGGGGUAAGGAUGCACCUGAAGAGAUGUAUAGAAGUCUUAAAAACAUAUUACAACCGUCAAUAACCUCAGAUCAUUGUUCCAUUCUUCCAGAACUGAAGGCCGCAGAGGAGUUAGGGAGAUGCGUAGUCGAUUUCCAAAUAUAAACUCUUCAGUGUGGACUUUGGACCUUUUUGACACAAAAGAUGGUGCAAGCAGCCUCUAUUCCAGUAGGUGCAACAAAUAAUUGGAAUCAACAUAAACUGAUUUUGGACUCGACCUGUAAUGGAAGCCACUUCUUUAAAGAGGUAGCAUUUGGGCUGGCCCUUGGAUAAGAAUUGAAUUAGUUGAAACAAAAAUACGAAAUAAUGUCGUUGCAAGUUUUUACAACUCUAUUCACAUGCGAGUAGUGGUUUAGGAUUAGGAAUGAGAAUAUCAGGGAUGAAGUCGGAGUAGCCUCCCGAGGUCUUUGAAAAACAACCUCUUUACCUUGCAAAGGUAGUGAUAAAGUCUGUGUAAACUCCAUUCUCUUCGAACUCCAUUUCAGUGGGCUCCUAUUGUACAUUACCUAUUUGUCAUUACGGACGUAUUAAUUUUUA
Molecule: RNA transcript, 2870 nt
Organism: Solanum lycopersicum (tomato)
Lineage: Eukaryota; Viridiplantae; Streptophyta; Magnoliopsida; Solanales; Solanaceae
Gene name: proteinaceous RNase P 1, chloroplastic/mitochondrial
Source: RefSeq, a predicted model, not a curated record